RNAcentral lists this long non-coding RNA (1467 nucleotides) under Medicago truncatula (barrel medic). Its description in RNAcentral is "long non-coding RNA (MTRU_LNC002589)". The record is from RNAcentral. Lineage: Eukaryota; Viridiplantae; Streptophyta; Magnoliopsida; Fabales; Fabaceae.
ACGGUUAAGGAUAUGAAAAACAAAAUUAUAUAGUAGUUAAUACAUUAAAAUUAUAUAAUAAUUUAUAAUAAAGUCAAAAAUAAUUUUCCUUUAUUGUAAUAAUUCUCUUUUAUGAUAUGUUUAACGAGUGUCCGGGGCACCUGUGAGCAAAAUCCAUGAAAAAAUAAUACACGAAUAUUGUGAUAUUUGUUGGCAAGCAAGCGAUCAAGUCAACGGAAUUGGACGUAUGGUACUAGUUUCCUUAACCGAUCAACUACGUUCAUUGUUUGUAAAUUACUACUACUUGUAUUUUAUUUUUUAAAGCCUAGUUUUUUUACUCGUGUUUGAUUGGUUUAGAAUCUUGUCCUUUUCAAGCAUUUGCUAUACUAUAUUAAUGAUAAAAAACAACUCAAUGGUUAAUAAGAGAAAUGAUAUUUAUACAAUCAUUUUUUAAUAAUUUUUAAACAACUCUCUCUUUCAUAUUCACCUGUUUUUUUAUUCUUUUUUUAUUCUUUCUCUCUCUAUUGUUUUUAUUCAAUAAAAAUAGAGAAAAAUAGUUGUCACAAAGAUUGUUUAAAAUUGGUUGUACAAAUAUCACUCGUCCAAUUAUUAAUGUUACAUUUUAUGAUAGGUGUUAUUUGUAGCAUCUUGCUAAUUUCGAUCUAAAAAUGGAAAAUCAAUACUAAAAUUUGUUGGUUUAUAGCUGACUAGCUGUGCAACAGAUCACAAUAUUAGGAUAUAUAUUUCCUUUUUUUACAAGAGGAUAUAUAUAUAUAUAUAUAUGUAGAUAUCCUGAAUUUGGCUUUUCAUAUUUUGAAAUAACAAUAUAGUUCACAUUACUUGUGAUUUGUGAAGAGUUUCUUGUAUGUGUAUCCAAAAAUAAAAUAAUAUAAUAAAGAGGUCAUUUCUACUUGACUUCUAUAAGCUUUGAUGGUACCAUCGCAUAGAUACCACACAGUGCAUUCCACUAAUAAAAUAAAAUAAAAUAAAAUUAUAGCGAUCUCUCCUCGUAAGUGUCUCCCUACAGCUUUUCCACUUUGUUGUUUUGUUUAUAGUUGACCAUAUGUCUAGGUCAUGGCAACGGGUAAAAAGCAAGUAGCAACUAGUUAGAACUUUACUAAAUUAAUAAUUUUGAAUUUUAUCAUGGAUUCUCUUACGAUGAAAAAAGUAAUAUUGUUGCAUAUAAAGAUGAAAUAAAGUAAUCAAGACUACUCAACUCGAUUCCUUUUUGUUAGGUCAAUGCCUAAUUUGGCCAGCUUUUGAUGUAAGUUAAAUGAAUCAUUAUCAUACGGUUACGGUAUUCGCCAAAAUAUCGAUCUGGAUCCUUUAUAUCUAGUUUACUUUAAUCUCUUAUAUUUUUUGUAAAAAACUUAUAUACAUUUCCUCAUAUAAAUUCAGUCUCUAUGUCUUGUCUCCGUGAAUUAAAAUCAAUUAGUUGGAAUAAUACACUAUAAUAUAUAAAGGUUGGGGUUUAAAUUUUGAACACUA